GCAGUGUGCCGUGCAGUUCAGGGGGCUUAGUCAAGAUGCCUUAACAGUAAACACUAGCAUACAUUAUGUGGAAAGUAGAAAACUAAAUUUGUAUGAAAAUCACAGUUCGUGUCACAGUCGGUAGCCUUGGCCCUAAAGGCAUGAGUUGGGAUACAAUAAGCGACACCAUGAUAGUGCUACGAAAAGACAAUAUUAAAAUAUUCCGGCAGUGUAGAAAAUCUAUCUAGCUAUCAACAUCUUUGAUGGCUACCGUUUUAUCGAAAAGUAUUUUUUAUGUUAUUAAAUAAUUUUCAUUUUAAUUUUAUCUGUUCGUUAAUAACGUUCUCGUAAAAUUUUAAUGAUCUAAACUAAUUAAUAUUUUUUAAGUUAAUUGUUUUAGUUUUUGUUUAUAUUUAAACAAUAAUUUAGAAUGGAAUCUAUGCGAUGAUAACUUAAUAGACACAGAAAAAUAUGAAAAUAUCAAGCAAGCAAAUUACAAGAAAAAGAGAAGAUAAUAAGAUAACUAAAAGUAUUAAUAUGAACCACCAAUGGAAUGAAAUUUAUGUAUUUAUAAAAGUGUUAUGAACCUGAAAUUGAAUUUGAUAAUGAGGAAUCAUGUAUUUGAUUAGGUAGGUAUAUAUGAGGGACAUUGUAUUUUAUGAAUAAUGUUAAAAAAAUAAGAGGAGUGGAGUAAGAAAUAAUGGUUGGUUAAGUAACAUUACCUCAAGAACAGAAACUAUGUUCUUCCUAAAAUUUUACUUCAUAAGUUUGGCAGUUUUAAGAAUGAGAUAUUUAUUACAAAAAUUUUUUGGGAAGAAUUAUAUCUUUACAAUACCUAACUAUUAUUAUUUACAAUCACUAUUCUUUAAAUGGCCCAGGAUGUAUCUUAUCCAAUGAACUGGAGAGCUUUUUCUAUGUUAUCAUAUGCGCUGUAUAUUACCUAACAAAGUACCUUAACAAUUUUAUGAAAUCAUCACAACAUCUGUCGUUACAUUUUAUGUAUUGGCUUUUUUUAAUAGAACAAAAUGCAUACGAAAUAAGUUUUGUCGCUGCCCAUUAUCUCUUACGUUUAUUAGUUACCUAAUUAUAAUUUUUCGGUUUUUAACUUCAUAUAUAAAAAUGAAUACAUCUGUAUUAAUAAUGCACCUGUGUGUGUGUAUUUUAGAAGUAAUAAUUCUAUUUUGUAAUAAGUAAUUAUACUUGCUAAUUUUCCUAUUUACACAAUUUUUUGUUUUAGAGGCAUGUUUGUUCCUUAACAUAUUGUAUAAAUUAAGGAACAAAUGUGAAAAAACCUUAUUUUAAUAAAAAAUAACUAUUAA
Pieris napi is the source of this 1298-nucleotide long non-coding RNA. RefSeq lists it as uncharacterized. The transcript is spliced from 2 exons. NCBI's taxonomy places the organism in Eukaryota, Metazoa, Arthropoda, Insecta, Lepidoptera, Pieridae. The record is from RefSeq and is a predicted model, not a curated record.